GGCCCUGUAGUUCAACGGAUAGAAUAGAAGUUUCCUAAACUUUAGAUAGGGGUUCGAUUCCCCUCGGGGCUA
Molecule: transfer RNA, 72 nt
Filed under: Bacteroides thetaiotaomicron
Lineage: Bacteria; Pseudomonadati; Bacteroidota; Bacteroidia; Bacteroidales; Bacteroidaceae
Also listed under: 3 other names
Description: tRNA-Arg
Rfam family: tRNA
About the family: Transfer RNA (tRNA) molecules are approximately 80 nucleotides in length.
Source: RNAcentral